This 494-nucleotide ribosomal RNA is filed under the name uncultured bacterium. RNAcentral describes it as "partial 16S ribosomal RNA". It matches the Rfam family "Bacterial small subunit ribosomal RNA", at positions 28 to 507 of the family's 1533-position model. The record is from RNAcentral.
GACGAACGCUGGCGGCGUGCUUAACACAUGCAAGUCGAACGGAAAGGCCUGCUUUCCCUUGUGGUUUGCGGGUACUCGAGUGGCGAACGGGUGAGUAACACGUGAGUGAUCUGCCCCCAACUUGGGUAUAAGCCUGGGAAACUGGGUCUAAUUCCCGAUAGGACUGCAGGGUGGUGCCUGUGGUGGAAAACGAUUUUCUAGUGGUUGGGGAUGAGCUCGCGGCCUAUCAGCUUGUUGGUGGGGUAAUGGCCUACCAAGGCGGAGACGGGUAGCCGGACUGAGAGGGUGGACGGCCACAUUGGGACUGAGAUACGGCCCAGACGCGUACGGGAGGCAGCAGUGGGGAAGAUUGCACAAUGGGCGGAAGCCUGAUGCAGCGACGCCGCGUGGGGGAUGACGGCCUUCGGGUUGUAAACUCCUUUCGACCGCGAGGAAGCCACCUGGUUGGAAGGGUGGUGACGGUAGUGGUAGAAGAAGCACCGGCUAACUACGUG